Molecule: ribosomal RNA, 369 nt
Filed under: uncultured bacterium
Lineage: Bacteria
Description: bacterial SSU rRNA
Rfam family: Bacterial small subunit ribosomal RNA
Source: RNAcentral
ACGGAGGGUGCAAGCGUUGUCCGGAUUUAUUGGGUUUAAAGGGUGCGUAGGCGGCUUUUUAAGUCAGCGGUGAAAGACUGUCGCUCAACGACGGAACUGCCGUUGAUACUGAUUAGCUUGAGUAUGAUUGAGGUAGCCGGAAUGGAUAGUGUAGCGGUGAAAUGCAUAGAUAUUAUCCAGAACGCCAAUAGCGUAGGCAGGUUACUAAGUCAUUACUGACGCUGAGGCACGAGAGUGCGGGGAUCAAACAGGAUUAGAUACCCUGGUAGUCCGCACUGUAAACGAUGAUGACUAGCUGUCGGGCUUUCGAGUUCGGUGGCACAGGGAAACCGUUAAGUCAUCCACCUGGGGAGUACGCCGGCAACGGUG